Molecule: non-coding RNA, 175 nt
Submitted as: unclassified sequences
Source: Rfam
UUGACUGCGUGUUCGGCUCUCCACCAUUCAGCCGUGCACAGCUUGUAUAAGGAGGAUAUGGUAAAUCCCCGGGCUCGGGGUGCGGCAGUGUGGAGACCUGUCGUAAGGCGGCGCACGCAAGUGGCCGCGAGUCUGCUCGCGCGGAGGCGGGGCAGACGGAGCCGGUACUAUGGCA